UUUUAAACCCCCCCCCCGUACUACCUAAUACACCCCCCGGCUUUAAAAUUUAUUCAAAUAAGGUACAGCCUAUUUGAAACAGGAUACAACCUAUUCAGCAGGGUAAUGUUCUGCCUACAUAAAUAAGUUGGCCUAAAAGCAGCCACCUUUCAAAAAGCGUCAUAGCUUAAUCAUACAGCAUCACUAAUCACUAUUAAAACUCAAAACCCUCCCCCUCUACUGAAUGAAUCUAUACUUAUAUAGAAAACCUUAUGUUAGAACUAGUAAUAAGAAAAAUUUCUCCUUAAAGCAUGCAUAAGCCAGAAUGAACCACUCCCUGGCACUUACCGCCAUAAACAGUACUAACCCCACAAGAAAAAUUUACUCUUUCUAAUCGUUAACCUUACGCCAGAGCUUUACCGGAAGAUUAAAAAAGGAGGAAG
Molecule: ribosomal RNA, 422 nt
Filed under: Choerophryne sp. LAO-2013
Lineage: Eukaryota; Metazoa; Chordata; Amphibia; Anura; Microhylidae
Description: partial 16S ribosomal RNA
Source: RNAcentral